This 328-nucleotide unclassified non-coding RNA is filed under the name soil metagenome. Its description in RNAcentral is "partial contains 5.8S ribosomal RNA, internal transcribed spacer 2, and large subunit ribosomal RNA". The stretch from base 1 to 119 matches the Rfam family "5.8S ribosomal RNA", at positions 35 to 154 of the family's 154-position model. The record is from RNAcentral.
GAUGAAGAACGCAGCGAAAUGCGAUAAGUAAUGCGAAUUGCAGAAUCCGUGAGUCAUCGAAUCUUUGAACGCACAUUGCGCCCUCUGGUAUUCCGGAGGGCAUGCCUGUUCGAGCGUCAUUUCACCACUCAAGCCUGGCUUGGUGUUGGGCGACGUCCCCUUUGGGGACGCGCCUCGAAACGCUCGGCGGCGUGGCACCGGCUUUAAGCGUAGCAGAAUCUUUCGCUUUGGAAGUCGGGGCCCCGUCUGCCGGAAGACCUACUCGCAAGGUUGACCUCGGAUCAGGCAGGGAUACCCGCUGAACUUAAGCAUAUCAAUAAGCGGAGGA